UACGUAGGGGGCAAGCGUUAUCCGGAUUUACUGGGUGUAAAGGGAGCGUAGACGGCGAUGCAAGUCUGAAGUGAAAGGCGGGGGCCCAACCCCCGGACUGCUUUGGAAACUGUAUGGCUGGAGUGCAGGAGAGGUAAGUGGAAUUCCUAGUGUAGCGGUGAAAUGCGUAGAUAUCAGGAGGAACACCGGUGGCGAAGGCGGCUUACUGGACAGUGACUGACACUGAGGCUCGAAAGCGUGGGGAGCAAACAGG
RNAcentral lists this ribosomal RNA (253 nucleotides) under uncultured bacterium. RNAcentral describes it as "partial 16S ribosomal RNA". It matches the Rfam family "Bacterial small subunit ribosomal RNA", at positions 524 to 776 of the family's 1533-position model. The record is from RNAcentral.